GGCACCGCCCAUUUCUUGGCGUUGAGCUGAGAGGAGAAGGAAAGGGGAGAGAGAGCAAGCGAGAGAAGGGAAAAAAAAAAGAAAGAAAGAAAAAAAAAAAAGCUGUCUCACUCCAACUGGCCUUUCUCGGAAAAGGAUCCUUCCCUGGUGACUGUCCGGAUAAGCGGAGCUGAAAGCAGCCACUGCUCCACAACACAACCACUCUGCCGGCGGUGCGUCCCUCUCGCUGCCUCGGAACCACUGAGCAGUCAGUACCUGGAUGAGGAUCAUCUCACUGCCCUGGAUGGCAAUGGUCCCAAGCUGUCCUUGAGGCUGAGGUAGUAGAUUGAAUAGUUGUGGAGUCUUAUCCUCCCUUUGAGCUAACUAUACAAUCUACUGUCUUUCCUAAGGAGACAGUCAGAUCUUCAGCUCGUCUGCUUCGACACAAAGCGUGGAGACAGGUGGUGCAAAGAAUCCUGCUCCUCCACAAAGCAGGGAAUCACAGCAGACCUCUGUACUGCUCUGUGGAGGUGAGGUAGUAGGUUGUAUAGUUUGGUGGGAGGGAUUCUAUCCCAUUUCAGGUGAUAACUAUACAGUCUAUUGCCUUCCUUAAAGAGCAGCAAUACCACCAGAGGAGAUGCUCAGAGGUCCUGGAGCAAAAACAGCACAUGGCACUAUUGAACAACACAGUGGCUCUUCUCCUGCAGCAUCCAGGAUUGUGUCAUUCCAGGGAAUAACUACCAAAUAUCCACAUAAAGAAAAAUGUACCUCUCAUUUUUAAUGGCUGCAAGAGAAACAAUGAAAUGAGCUGUCUUAGCCAAGAACUCAAAGCCCCGUGAGCUGAUCAGAUUUUGGCUGGUUGGCCCCUGAAAGUCCAUUCUGGUUUUGGACAAGUUCCCAGCUGUCCCAUGGGACAGAGUUACAGGGUGGUUCUUUCUGAUUUGGUAAUCUCUAUCAACCCAACUCACACGCAAACCCUGCUGGAGACAUUUGGGCUCCUAUGUAUUUACGUAAAAUAAGCCAACAAUUCAGACCAGUGCCCCGUCCUCCUCAGGAAACAGGUGAGAAAGAGAGAUGAGCCAAAGGCAGCAAGUCCUGAUCCCUCUUGUUCCUGCCAGGUAGGUGGCACUGACAUCUGACAGCAGAUGCAGGAGAUGACAGCCUGCUUCAGAGCUCUGGCACUUGACAAGGGACAGAGAAUGGUUAUUUCUUCCCUUGGUGAGAAGCAGAUGGGACAACCCCUCCACCACAUUCCAGAGUAAAUAGAAUCCAGAUCACAGGAGGGACUGUAACUCGAUGAGGGCUGCACCAGUUUCUCAAGACUGAAGGAUGUCUCGGGACAUUAUCACCAGCAUCUCACUGCCAGGGAAACGCGUGAGAUCUGAGACACUGAGGAGCAAGGGCAAACCGAGGGCACCUUCUCAGAUGAAUCGGGAGGAAGAGAGCUGCAAUAAGAAAUUGGAGCCCUCAAAUUUCACCCUGGAAGUGAAACACGGGGCGACUCAGAGCUGGCUGCUCGGGCUGUGGGACUGCCAUCAGUGAAGCAGCUCAUUUAAGGCUCCUCUGCUGCUUGGGAUAGGGCGUAGCUUCAGCAAGGCUGGGAUGGGACUUCCUCAGGCAGGGCAACAGCUGGAGGGUGGGGAUGCUGGAGUAUCUAGCAGCAGAGGAAUGCAGCCCUCUGCUCCAUACAUCUGGCUUUCCAGGAGUCAUGGGAACCUGUCACACAAAGCUACAGCUCGCUUCUCUUCUACACAUUCUUACCCCCUAUGUACCUCCUCAGGGGCAGGGCUUCUACCCCCAGCAUUGCUCGGAAGGUACCAAAGCAGCAGCACGACUAUGGGAACAGGGCAGCGCAUCAGCUUCGUGUUUAAGGGGUGUCUCCUGGAAAAGGAUUAAUCCUGUGGGUCCCGAACGAAAUCGGUUCACUCCCCAUCCACUGCACUGAUGUUAACGCAAAGAAUUUUAAGCAGCAAAACAGUAUGAGAUGAAAACCAUGAGUAAAAUGCCACUAGAGAUACUCUUCUGUGAAAAUAAACUUGCUUUGAUUAUUGUAUUAUAUAUAUAUUUUAAUAGUGUCUUUUACUGCCUUGAAGCAAGCAUGGCUGAUGAGCUGGGGCCAGGGUUGGCUGGUGCUCCUGACUGUGUGUCACCCAGCAAACCCUGCACGUGACCAAAGCCCUGAGCCCAAAGGGGAAACCAGGACAUGACAAGGGGAGGUGGGGUUGGCUGAGCAGCCGAGGCUGUAGGUCCUGCUGUCAACAGGCACCGUCCUGGGCCCAGAAUGGGAAAUGUGACAGAACUCCACAGAGGCAGCAAGGCCCCGUCCAGCAGGGAUCCUCCAUGCCAGGGAAGGAGUGGCCACAUGGAAACCUCCUCCUCUUUGGGUCCCCAGACUCUUGCAGCAGCUUCGCCAGGCUCCUUUCCUUCCAGGAAUCUCCCACCAACUCACUUCAGUGGCUGAGCAUCCUUCAGGCCGUCCCCAGAAACAGAGCUGGAAAUGCUUCACAAGUUUCCCUUGGAUGUUCCAUGCCCUUCCCUGCUUACCAACCACACUCUCAAUCCACGUUUGCCACGCAGCUGCCUUCCCUCCAUCCCUAAAUCCUCCUGAUUUGGGACUAAACCAAACCACUCCAAAUCCCCACCUUGGCAGCGCUCAGCCCCGCUGUCCCAGGGCACAGGGGGAAGAGGAAGGAGAAUCUGCCUUCUAGUUUUGAAUUUGCUGCUGCAAGGAACUCUACAAAUAGUGCUCGCACCAUUCUGUGACUGCAAGUGUCAAAGCUUUUGGGAAAAGAAAACUCAACCAUAAAAUAAAGAUGAAAUACUUAAAAAAAAACCACCUCUGGAAUGCUUUGCAUGGGCUCAUGCAAACUCUGUUACUGCUGCUCUGAGCCCCACGGUGGUUAUUGAGGUAGGAGAGGGGGAAGCACCCAACACUGCAAAACAAAUCCGAUGCUGACCAAGUGCUCUCAUUUCACUGGGAGGAGAAACACUUUUCUGCUCUUUUAAUCAUUGGUAGGGGAUUAAUGAUACGCUCUCCUUCACCCGGGUGGGCAAACAGUUGCAGCCCUGAAGUGCCAUCCCAGCUCUGUCCCUGCUUUACCCCUGGUAGGGCUGCAGGCCCUUGCAACAGGUGAACAACAGCCGCUCUGGCUGGACUUCUGUCACUUGUCAGCAGCUCCAUGCUGGGUGCUUUUCCCCUUGCAGCUUGCAGGAGCUCAGCCAUGCAACAACCCUUAGGAGAAAUUAUUUUAAAAUCUGAUUCUUAACUACACCUGAUGCUUGUGAUUAAAUAGAGCGCUGUACAGUGAGGUCAGUGCUGCUCACUGCUCCGCAGUGACUGUCCCACUGCCAUCUGCUGGUCACCAUUCAGCAGGGUUAGCAGUGACCGUGACCUAAAAACACCCCACGGGCAGCUGCUUCCUAUCAGGGAGCCGUGCUGCUGUGCUCCUGCAGCAGAACCACAGGGAGAGGGGAAGCACAGAGCAGCCUCAAAGCAACAAGCAAAGGUCCAACGUCAGCAUCAUUCCCAUGCUGUGGGUUCACCCCUUGCAGUGCGGGUGCUGUGAUGUUCAGUGGGGAAGGGACAGGGGAGGACAUUGCAUUUAGCUUCUUUCAUUGCCACGCAGAUGAAGACGUGCUGGGGUGGGAGGAGGCUGCUCGGCCUCGUAGCAGGGAACCAGAAGCACUCCAGCAUUAAUUUCAUCUUGGUUUCUUUUUGCUCUGAGCUCCCUUCAUCUUGCUUUCCUUGCCCACAAAUUCCUGCUGGAGACACAUUUUUGCUCAGCACUCAGCUGAUGCAAUAUUCCCUACAAAUAAUAGGGAAUAGGGAUUCUCUAUUCCCUAUCGUGCUGAACGUCCUCCUCCUCCUGCUUUUAAUUGGGCUAAAAACAUAAAUCACAUAAUCAUGGUUUAGGUUGGAGGGGACCUUAAAGAUCAUUGAGUUCCAGAAGAUCAAAAAGCUGCAAUCCUGCAGAACCCAGCACCCAUUGCUGUCGAGAAGCCAAAAAACAAUAACAACAUUGAGCACUUGGAAGGAGCCAGGGUGAUUUGCAGCAAUUCUACUUAAAUGCACAACCAGGAUUGUUUUUCAGAUACAAGCCGACUUCUGGAGAUCCCCAAAAGAAACCAUGUGCCCCACAGCAGGCUUUCAGAACAGGAUUUAUUCAGUGCAUGCUCUGGAGAUGCACAGCACACAGCAUCAGGAGGAGGACUCAGACAUUGGACUUAUCUCCACCUCAUCUAUGUAAUAAACCAAAGAAUGCAGCAACCAGAGAAGAACUGGAUCUCCUCGUCCCUUCUGCUGGGCUGCAAAACUUGCCCCACAUUUAACACCCCCCGCUGGGAAUCUUCAGGUGAACAGAGCAGAAACAUGGAGGAAUACAACACACAGUGCUCCAGAGAAUGAAAGCCAUCCUGCAACAAGUCCUGGAAGCACCGGUACCCUCUAACGUCAUUCACUUGGCUCUCUCAAGCUGAAACUGCACCAGCAGACCUGAUUAUUUUUCCUCCUGGACCCACAUAUAUACAUCAACCAGGAUCUGGAUCUAACUGCAAAUACGUCGUACACUUAAGAUCUGCAAAGAGGGAAGCCGUGCAGAAGAAAGGAGCAGUAACUCCUCUCCUGUGCUGGAGGUUUUUCUUCUGUGCAGGCACACACGUGCAGGCACACGCGUACAAUAAGGGCAUGACAACGGAGUAACUGUUGGAGCAGAAGUGAGGAAGGGGGUAAAGACUGCAAAGGGAUGGCAGGAGAAGGAGCACGUCUAGACACUGGCCAUAGCUCUACCCAGAAGUAGGAAACACAAACCUCUUCUGUGGACAAAAAUGCCAUUUUUGGACAAGGAAGGAAGAGGUGACACUUCUCCAAAAUUGAGACAAACAGACACACGAGGAGAGAAAGAGAGCAUUUCUGGUAGAAAUCCAUCCUGAUACACAGACAUCAGACGCAACGAUCGUGUCUUGCCUCCAAACAAAUACCAAAGCCAACCUCCAUGUCCCAUUGCCAUUUGGGUUUCCAGGGCAUUCUGGUUUCCCUGGGACGUGGUGCAGCAGGACCUGCCGGCCACACAGGGCAACGAGAGCUUAUCGUCUCCUAUUGGAAACAGAGCAGAAGCCCAGGCUGGCUGGGAAGAAGGGAGAAGUAUUGGUACCCAAGUUCACUAGCAUGAUGGCAGACACCCUUCUGCCCCUGGGCUGUCUCAGGAAGGGCACUGAGUGCCCAUGUGAUGGCCAGUAGCCCUUGGCACAGCAGGGCUGGAGCGGGUGAGCCAGAGGAAGAAGAGAGUGUGUCAACCUGAACUGCCCGUGGUGUCUCCCAAGCCUACCAGGGUGGUGGGACAACCAUGCUGAAGAAAGCCUUGGCGACGGGUGCAGGGACAGCUGAGAAAGUCUGUUCAAAGCAGAAGGCCCACCAGGAUGACACAGGGCAGGAGGAAGAGCAAAAGGCCCUUGUGGGUGCUGGGAGCUCCAGCUGUGGGCUGCUGCUUGCCUUCAUGGUCUGAGUUUGUCUCCAGCUCUUCAGCAUUCGAGGCAUCUGCUGGCAGAAAAGAAAAAAACAGCACAGAGUUAAAGGGGAAGAUGUGAGCAAAAGAGAAACUCCCAUUCAUGCAGGGAUCUGUCAGGGAUGUGCACGACGACACCACGAGGUGCAAGGCAGCAGCACACAGAUCCAACGGAGACACGGCACAGCCGGUGGGUGUUAGUGAGGAGCAGGCUGUAAACAAAUCCAUGCUUCACAAACCAGGCAUCCAAACAGACCCUUUAAGCGUUAGGGGAAAGAGUGAGGAAAAGGGUUGUUGCCACAUCAAAGACGAGGAUCCAAAGGACCAGUCUGAUACUGGCUCCUCCCAAGUGUGCUCCAUGCUUGGGGAUCACUCAACGUCUGCAUGUCCAUGCCAGGUCAGACUCCACAAUUACCUUACCUGAGAAGGAGGUCUGGAAAGCAGGGCUCUGCCCCUUUUCUUUGGAAGAUGACGUUAAACGCAUGAAGAUGGGUUCUUCAGGGCUGGAGACCACUGACUUUGAGGAGGUUAUGAGCUCAGCUUUAUUGAAACCUAACUUGAUCUCUGGAAUAAUCUGGCUGGGGGAUGGAGUUGGACUGGAAAAGAAGGCUGAUUUCUCUCUCUCAUCCUCUUUCACACCGUUAUUUGUUUCUGGGACUGAUUUGGGACUGAUGGCUGUGCCCAUACUUUCUAAUAAGUCUGGAUUUUCUGUAGCUAAGGAGGCAACAGGCUCUUCAGUAUCUAACUCUGCUUCUGGAGAUGCUCUAUAAUCCGAGUCUAAAGUGGGCUCAAAGGAAAGUGUUAACCCAGUUGUUGCAAUAUAAUCGGGACUUUCAGUUU
Molecule: long non-coding RNA, 6320 nt
Organism: Lagopus leucura (white-tailed ptarmigan)
Lineage: Eukaryota; Metazoa; Chordata; Aves; Galliformes; Phasianidae
Exons: 2
Source: RefSeq, a predicted model, not a curated record